Long non-coding RNA from Ictalurus punctatus (channel catfish), 2604 nucleotides. Lineage: Eukaryota; Metazoa; Chordata; Actinopteri; Siluriformes; Ictaluridae. The record is from Ensembl.
UGAUCUGAAAAAUACUAGGAUAAUAAGUGGCGCUAAUGCACCAUAAGAAGAAGAAGAAGAAGAAGAAGAAGAAGAAGACCACCGCAUUCUGUUUGACAGCGUCGCCGGGAAGUGCAGGUGGCACAAAAGUUCCCGCAACAAUUUGAAAAUAGGAUAAAACAAAGGAUACCAGAAGCAUCCAGUUAUUGUUUCGUGAUUCAGAAAGUGUUUAAUAUCUGGAGCAGGGUCACUGAUACUCGCACUACGAGACUAAACACUGCAAGUAGCAACAGUGCUGUCAUUGCCAAGUGUGACAGCCAGACAUGUUGGAUUGAACAGUAUUUUCAGAAAAGGUUUGCAGUAUCAGGAGAUACCAGCAGCGGAAAUUACUCCAUAAGUAUCAGUUCAGUCGUCUACACUGAUGCCGGUUCCUACAGGUGCAGCUGUGAUGGACAUUCAGUUACUGAAGAAAAGCUUCAGGUGUAUGUUCCAACAGUCAUAAAGACAUUUGAGGGGGAGAACGUCACCCUCCCCUGCUAUGGAGACACUCGGGUUGAUGCCAUGAAUGUACAGUGGAAGAAAGGUGAAGAAACAGUGCUGGAAAUCACUUCUGUGACUACCGGCGACGUCUCAGCAGGCAGAUGUUCGAUCUCAAAAGAAGGUUAUCAAGAUGGCGACCUCUCACUCCACAUUAGUUCAGUUAACCGGUCUGAUGCUGAAUUUUAUCGGUGCCUUAUUCACGAUGAAUCUCGUGAUGGAGACCCACGUGCUGUUCUACUAAAGGUGGAAGAACGCCGACCUGAGCACCAACCACCCCCAGCCUGCAACAGCAACACAGAAGCAGCAUUAGCAGUAAUACUAGCAGUAACACUAACACUGGUCAUCCUCGGAGUGAUUAUUUACUGUGUGAGAAGAUUCAAAGUAACUAAGAAUAAGGCAUCCACCGAUCCAGGGCCUCCUGUUCAAGAGGAAAACCAAAUGAUCCCAAAGCCUUCUUCAACACGGAGAUUCCAGGACUAGUUCAUAGUCAAAGAUCUGCCACACUGUUUUUUUUUUUUUUUUAAACUUUUCUUAUGAAGGGAAGCAAAAUUAGAUAUUAAGGGAUUAGAAAUCUUUAAAAACAUAGAAAUUCAGCAAAGCUGUAGGAAUGCCAUGGUGGUGUCUAGGGAUGUCACAAUACCAAAAAUCUAGUAGUCGGUACCAACACCACCAAAAGUACAUGAUACUCGAUACCAAAGUCGAUACCAUGGUGUGGUAUAAAAAUGAAAUUAAAAACUCUCCUGGAGGACAUCCUCCUCUGGCUGAUACUGGCAAAAAAAAAAAAAAAAAAGAGAGGGAGGGAUAUUAUAGUUAUCAAACACUGUCUGACAAUGAGUGGAGUGACUCCUAAACUCGUGCACGCAUGUACACACACACACACACACACACACACACACACACACACACAUCCUUAUACUGUGAAUGCAAGCAUUAGUUUAAAUUCACUGAUAUGCUGGCAGGCCAAAAAGAUUUAUUAAAAGCAUGAACACUAGAAUAAUUGUUAGUGACAUUAGGCUACAUUUUGCUGACAGGACACGGGCUGAAUGGCGAUGCAUGGAGGCCCAUUAGGAGGUAGUUUAUAACACUGCAAUGUGUUCGCGUCGUUAACAAAUAACUGGCUAUCGCAAACAUUACAUGGAGCAUAACGUUAGCUGGUUUAACGGCCACAAUGCCAGCUGCCUCAAACAAACAAACAAACAAACAAAUAAUAUACAACCUGUGUUUCAGGUGCUUCGCCAAAUUUCGCCAAAUAUAUGUUUGUUGUCAUCCGCCUCGAAUGCGGAGUAUUUCUAUAUUCCAGACCACCUUUCCUCUCAACGAGUCACGGUGGAGCUAAACUUCUGUAGUUUUUCCCGUGUGUUUGUAGUUGUUGUUCUUCACCAUUUGUGGACCGGCUAAAAGACGUGCGCUUAUUUGCUCCCCCCGGUCAGGUUUGGAAGAAUUGCAAACCGGUACUUUCAUUAGAAACGGUACCAACACUACUGCAGAAAAACAAGUUCAGUCACAUUUUAAGAAUGUUGGUACCGACUUGGUACCAGAGUAUCAGUUCUCGUGACAUCCCUAGUGGUGCCUAAUGGUGGUGUCUAAGCAUGGUGUAGUUAGUUCUCUUUGUUCUGGUGUGCCGAUAUUCCUGCUUUAUUUCAGUCAUUUUUGCAGUUCACAUGAAAGAAAUGUGAACUCGGACUUUGAAAGAGCCAGUUUUACAUGCACUAUGAACUGAGCCAUAUGGUUAUACCGUAAAUAAUCAUGAUGUAUAUUUAUACAUGCUGUAUGUACAGGUACAUCUUUUAAAAAAUUGAAUAUUGUGGAAAAGUUAUUUUUUACUGUAAUUUAAUUCAAAAAGUGGAACUUUUAUAUAUUCUAGAUUCAUUACACGAAGUGAAAUAUUUCAAGCCUUUUUUUUUGCUUUAAUCUUGAAGAUUACGGUUUACAGCUCAUGGAAAUCUUCAUUUUUCUUUAAUUUUUUUUCUGUAAUUGUUCUUUGUAGUUUCGACGUUUCGUAAAUUAUAGAGGUGUAUAAUUAACUUAUUCUUCAUUUCUGCUAAGAUUUGGGUAAAUGGGACAAUUUGGGUAAUUUAAUAAUUU